GUAUUAAGUUUGAAGGCAUUGAAGCCCAACAACAAACAUUCUUAGACAUACUAUAGGGGGUAUACAUAUAAAAACAUAGACCGGAAGUACAAGGAAAGCUGGCUUUGCGCACAGCAGUCCUCAAACCGAGUUUCCUCGAGAGUUUAUCCAGGUCUACAGAAGGUGCACAGGUGGUAAAAAGUUUGGUGUUAGGCGUGCACAUGCUCCUGAGAGCCAGCAACAACCCAACCAAGCUUAUUCAAUAAUGAUCCUUCCGCAGGUUCACCUACGGAAA
Molecule: unclassified non-coding RNA, 274 nt
Filed under: uncultured fungus
Lineage: Eukaryota; Fungi
Description: sequence contains ITS1
Source: RNAcentral